Molecule: ribosomal RNA, 156 nt
Filed under: Leiorreuma sericeum
Lineage: Eukaryota; Fungi; Ascomycota; Lecanoromycetes; Ostropales; Graphidaceae
Description: 5.8S ribosomal RNA
Rfam family: 5.8S ribosomal RNA
About the family: 5.8S ribosomal RNA (5.8S rRNA) is a component of the large subunit of the eukaryotic ribosome. It is transcribed by RNA polymerase I as part of the 45S precursor that also contains 18S and 28S rRNA.
Source: RNAcentral
CUUUUAACAACGGAUCUCUUGGUUCUGGCAUCGAUGAAGAACGCAGCGAAAUGCGAUAAGUAAUGUGAAUUGCAGAAUUCAGUGAAUCAUCGAAUCUUUGAACGCACAUUGCGCCCUCUGGUAUUCCGGGGGGCAUGCCUGUUCGAGCGUCGCAAA